RNAcentral lists this ribosomal RNA (484 nucleotides) under uncultured bacterium. RNAcentral describes it as "partial 16S ribosomal RNA". It matches the Rfam family "Bacterial small subunit ribosomal RNA", at positions 28 to 507 of the family's 1533-position model. The record is from RNAcentral.
AUUGAACGCUGGCGGCAUGCUUUACACAUGCAAGUCGAACGGCAGCGCGGGCUUCGGCCUGGCGGCGAGUGGCGAACGGGUGAGUAAUGCAUCGGAACGUGCCCAGUAGUGGGGGAUAGCCCGGCGAAAGCCGGAUUAAUACCGCAUACGACCUGAGGGUGAAAGCGGGGGAGCGAAAGGCCUCGCGCUAUUGGAGCGGCCGAUGUCGGAUUAGCUAGUUGGUGGGGUAAAGGCUUACCAAGGCGACGAUCCGUAGCUGGUCUGAGAGGACGACCAGCCACACUGGGACUGAGACACGGCCCAGACUCCUACGGGAGGCAGCAGUGGGGAAUUUUGGACAAUGGGGGCAACCCUGAUCCAGCCAUGCCGCGUGCGGGAAGAAGGCCUUCGGGUUGUAAACCGCUUUUGUUCGGGAAGAAAUCCUCUGGGCUAAUACCCCGGGGGGAUGACGGUACCGGAAGAAUAAGCACCGGCUAACUACGUG